GUGAGAAUGGAGGAGACAAAUGGUGGUUUUCAGACACUUGUCUAUGAAGACGAUUUGCACAAGGAAGAGUAUCCUCCUUACCAUCAGUCUAACAGGAUACAAGUGUCCAUGUUCACUAUGAGUCCUGGGAGACGCCACAGACUGGCUGCAGUGUGCCUGGCACUUCUUGCUGCUGUUCUUCUGAUACUGAAUAUUGGCCUGGGGAUCCACUAGAAGUUGAUCAGGCUUUUGCUUCAUCCCCUGAGACCAGCUGCACUGAAUCAUCACCAGCUUUUGUCCUCAUCUUUUCGCUCAGUGAGGUCUUUCCUUUCCUUGGCCAUUCC
Molecule: long non-coding RNA, 323 nt
Organism: Pelmatolapia mariae (spotted tilapia)
Lineage: Eukaryota; Metazoa; Chordata; Actinopteri; Cichliformes; Cichlidae
Exons: 3
Source: RefSeq, a predicted model, not a curated record